Long non-coding RNA from Corvus moneduloides (New Caledonian crow), 1111 nucleotides. The record is from Ensembl. Lineage: Eukaryota; Metazoa; Chordata; Aves; Passeriformes; Corvidae.
GGAGGAGUCCCAGGGAGUCUUGGGCAGUUUUUUACCAUCUUUAUCCUUGUGGAGAAUCACAGCCCACACGCAAAGAUGAUGUGCAAAUUCAUGAGGCACUCCAUGGCAGCUGUGAACAUGUGUGUCAAGGUUUCACUUUUCCAUGUAACCCUAAAGAGUGGACACAAAAGACAUGUAUUUGCUUGAAAGGUGAGAGAACAGCAGAGAGACCAUCUGCAGAGGAAGAUGGGCAAUUGUGAAAAGAGGUCAAGAACAAAAUAGGGAAGAAGGAGCAGCAGAUCCAGAGGUCAGCGGAAGGACAGAGGCCGUGAGUUGGAGGUGUACCCACUCAUCCCACACGUAAGCUCCUUUCACUGAGGCAGCGGGGAGCGAUCUCUCUGAAAAGCACCUACCGCAAGGAAGUCCUGACUCUUCUGUGCCUUACAGAUAUGACUCAAACAGAGAUACUCAUUCUCAAAAUGAAAGCAGGCAGAGUGAAGUUACUGGUGUGACGGACGCUUGACAGUGAGGGCUCCAGAGCAGGAGAGUGCUGGCUGUCCCCAUGAGUGACAGACCCACCAUCAGGUUUUCUACACUGCAUAUGCAAUCACCCCAAAUAGCUAUUUUGUGUGAUUAUGACCAAGGAAAUUUACUUUUUAAAUUAUUCUAGACAAAAAGUAUUCCAUAAAGCAGCCAUGGGCAAUCUCUGAGCCAAGAAACUGCAGGUGUAUUUAGAAGUCCUAAAACGGUCUGGCCGUUCUCCCUUGUCCUUGCUCUUCCUUAUCUACAAAUUGUUCCCCUCCAAAAGGGACUUAAAGAUUCCCUUACAAGACUUCAACAACUUCAUCUUCUCCUUCUUUAUUACCUUUAGUGUUGUCCAGUUAGGGGAAAAGUGAGGAGCCUCUUACAUCAGUAAUGGCAAUAGUUAAUAACAGGAAUACAGGCUGUGAAGAAGCAGUUGUUUAGUCAAAACCUUUGUUAAAUCUCUUUGAAAAAUAAAAAUUUGUAAAACUAUUUUUUUAUGGAAUGCUUUCAAAACACAGAAAGCUAUGAAAUUCAGUGAUUUGUGCAUUAGUAAUUACUAUUGCUCUGAACUAAAGAAAAAGUGAAAGGCAUCAGUAGUUGAAUACUC